Molecule: ribosomal RNA, 218 nt
Filed under: Gilliamella sp. wkB108
Lineage: Bacteria; Pseudomonadati; Pseudomonadota; Gammaproteobacteria; Orbales; Orbaceae
Description: partial 23S ribosomal RNA
Rfam family: Bacterial large subunit ribosomal RNA
Source: RNAcentral
UGUACGGGUUGUGAUGCCAAUUGCAUUGCCCGGUAGCUACGUGCGGGAUAGAUAAGUGCUGAAAGCAUCUAAGCACGAAACUAGCCUUAAGAUGAGUUUUCCCAGAUGAGAAUCUGUAAGGUCCGUUUGAGACUAAGACGUAGAUAGGUCAGGUGUGUAAGUGUAGUGAUACAUUGAGCUAACUGAUACUAAUGAACCGAGAGUCUUAACCUUACAAC